RNAcentral lists this long non-coding RNA (948 nucleotides) under Junco hyemalis (dark-eyed junco). RNAcentral's name for it is "lncRNA (ENSJHYG00000018030.1)". The record is from RNAcentral. Lineage: Eukaryota; Metazoa; Chordata; Aves; Passeriformes; Passerellidae.
GAAGCUCAGAAAUGACACAUAUGGCCAUGCUUACACUUUAAACGUGGUGAAGAAAAGACAUGAGGGUGUGAGUCUCCCAGAACACCGCUGCUCGUGACUGCUUCUUGCCUCAGGCUGGAGCUAGGAAAGGCUGCUCCCAGAAAGCUGUGAGGGAGCAAAAGGCUACAGGUACUAUAAGCUUUCUUCUUGGCAAGGAGGCUUAGCUGAUUCCUAGAAAUGAGCAAGCUGGCACCUACUUCUAGCAACAGACAAAUUUUAAGUAAUCCUGUGCCUAAAGUCUACAUACAUCUCAUGUUCUGGUUGUGGUAUAUCCUGAUUCAUCAAGUGGACACUCAAGAGCAAUACUACAAAUAAUAAUAUUUUAUUUAACAGUGUUUUCUAUAUUAAAUAGAAACUGAAACAUGCUGUGGGAAAUGGAAUUUUUUUUAAAUGAAACUUUGAUUUUAUUAAUUCAACUACAAGGCAUCUUAGAAUGUGACAGUCUGUUUUCUGGAUUAUUUUAUUCCUUAUAUACAGCAGCAAUGAAUGAUCUUCACCUCAUUAACUUUAUGUGUCUACAGUCUUGUGAUCAUGUCUGAAGCACAUCUGAACUUCCUUUGCUAUCAAUGGAGGGAAACAAGCACUUUCUAGUCUACCAUUCAUUUCAGAAAGCAACUUUAGCAUUAAGUGUGUCGCUUUGUAGAAACAGCCUUUUCAUUAUAUGAUAAAUGGACUCUAGAAAGCUAAUUCAGAUAUAUAUGUCCAGCCUUGGUCUUAUGAAUCAUGCUCCUGAUGCCUACACUAGACUGCCAUACACAUUUGGAAGAACAGCAUGACUGUUCCAGGUGCCUGACUUUCAGCUGGCUAUUACUGAGAAGCCAUGGGUUAAAGCAGUCUCUGAUUAGGAGGAAAAAAACAGUGAGAAGUCUGGAAAUAAGGGAUGUGCAGCACAUUAGGAAACACCAUUGA